This 543-nucleotide ribosomal RNA is filed under the name Yamadazyma michaelii. RNAcentral's name for it is "LSU rRNA". It matches the Rfam family "Eukaryotic large subunit ribosomal RNA", at positions 79 to 656 of the family's 3401-position model. The record is from RNAcentral. Lineage: Eukaryota; Fungi; Ascomycota; Pichiomycetes; Serinales; Debaryomycetaceae.
CUUAGUAGCGGCGAGUGAAGCGGCAAUAGCUCAAAUUUUGAAAUCUUGGCACCUUCGGUGUCCGAGUUGUAAUUUGAAGAAGGUAUCUUUGGUUUUGGCUCUUGUCUAUGUUCCUUGGAACAGGACGUCACAGAGGGUGAGAAUCCCGUGCGAUGAGAUGCCCAAUUCCAUGUAAAGUUCCUUCGACGAGUCGAGUUGUUUGGGAAUGCAGCUCUAAGUGGGUGGUAAAUUCCAUCUAAAGCUAAAUAUUGGCGAGAGACCGAUAGCGAACAAGUACUGUGAAGGAAAGAUGAAAAGAACUUUGAAAAGAGAGUGAAAAAGUACGUGAAAUUGUUGAAAGGGAAGGGCUUGAGAUCAGACUUGGAAUUUUCCAGUAAUGGAGCUUUCCGGGCCAGCAUCAGUUUGGAUGGCAGGAUAAUUGCGUAGAAAAGUAGCUCUACUUUCGGUGGAGUGUUAUAGUCUGCGUCGAUACUGCCUGUCUAGACUGAGGACUGCGUCUUUGACUAGNGAUGCUGGCAUAAUGAUCUUAAGCCGCCCGUCUUG